UACGUAGGAUGCAAGCGUUGUUCGGAAUUACUGGGCGUAAAGAGUACGUAGGCGGUUUGAUAAGUCUGAUAUUAAAUACAGAAGCUUAACUUCUGAACUGUAUCGGAAACUGUCAGACUAGAGGACAAUAGAGGAAGUGGGAAUUCUCAGUGUAGCGGUGAAAUGCGUAGAUAUUGGGAAGAACACCAGUGGCGAAAGCGCACUUCUGGGUUGUUACUGACGCUGAGGUGCGAAAGCGUGGGGAGCAAACGGG
RNAcentral lists this ribosomal RNA (253 nucleotides) under uncultured bacterium. RNAcentral's name for it is "partial 16S ribosomal RNA". It matches the Rfam family "Bacterial small subunit ribosomal RNA", at positions 524 to 776 of the family's 1533-position model. The record is from RNAcentral.